AUUAAAUGAAAAAGAUUAUCAAAAAAUAAAAAGUUGAUUGUUGGAUUUUUACAUAUUUUUUAUGCGGUGACAUUUUGAUUGCGAGCUUUUUACGUAAAUUCACUAGUAAUUAUCAUAAUAUUAAUUAUAAUUUAAUUUUUAAAAUAAUAUACCUUAUUAUUUUAAUAGUACCUGGUUAGGUGAGCAUUGAAAAACACGAGUUACUCAAGUAAGUACUCGAAUUAUUGCAUACUCUGAAGUCUCUAAAGUCUUUUUUAAUAUUAUACGAUUUAUAGAAUUAUUUGAGCUAUUCACAAGGAUUGGUCCAAGAAGAAGAGCACUAGAAGGAAGUACCAUCC
Molecule: non-coding RNA, 338 nt
Organism: Cinara cedri
Lineage: Eukaryota; Metazoa; Arthropoda; Insecta; Hemiptera; Aphididae
Source: the annotation of a GenBank genome assembly